This 265-nucleotide ribosomal RNA is filed under the name uncultured prokaryote. Its description in RNAcentral is "partial 16S ribosomal RNA". It matches the Rfam family "Bacterial small subunit ribosomal RNA", at positions 524 to 784 of the family's 1533-position model. The record is from RNAcentral.
UACGUAGGUGCGAGCGUUGUCCGGAAUUACUGGGCGUAAAGAGCUCGUAGGUGGUUUGUCGCGUCGUCUGUGAAAUUCCGGGGCGUUAACCUCGGGCGGUGCAGGCGGAUACGGGCGAAUAACUUGAGUGCUGUAGGGGAGGACUGGAAUUCCUGGUGUAGCGGUGGAAUGCGCAGAUAUCAGGAGGAACACCGAUGGCGAAGGCAGGUCUCUGGGCCACUACUGACGCUGAGAAGCGAAAGCAUGGGAGCGACAGGAUUAGAUA